Molecule: ribosomal RNA, 562 nt
Filed under: Sierrathrissa leonensis (West African pygmy herring)
Lineage: Eukaryota; Metazoa; Chordata; Actinopteri; Clupeiformes; Clupeidae
Description: partial 16S ribosomal RNA
Rfam family: Bacterial large subunit ribosomal RNA
Source: RNAcentral
CGCCUCCUGCCCACAACAGCAUAGGAGGUCCCGCCUGCCCUGUGAUUAAAAAUUUAACGGCCGCGGUAUUUUAACCGUGCAAAGGUAGCGCAAUCAAUUGUCUUUUAAAUGAAGACCUGUAUGAAUGGCAUAACGAGGGUUUAACUGUCUCUUUAAUCCAGUCAAUGAAACUGAUCUGCUCGUGCAGAAGCGAGCAUAACAACACAAGACGAGAAGACCCUAUGGAGCUUUAGACGCCCACCAACUAUGGAAAGCAACAAAACCAAAAACCCCCAAACAACAUAGAUCUGGCACAAACGUCUUCGGUUGGGGCGACCGCGGGGGAAAACUAAGCCCCCAAGAGGACAGGGGAAACCCUAGAACCAAGAGCCACACCUCCAAGUCACAGAAUAUUUGACCAACUAAUGAUCCGGCCCGUGCCGACCAACGAACCAAGUUACCCUAGGGAUAACAGCGCAAUCCCCUCCCAGAGCCCAUAUCGACGAGGGGGUUUACGACCUCGAUGUUGGAUCAGGACAUCCUAAUGGUGCAGCCGCUAUUAAGGGUUCGUUUGUUCAACGAU